RNAcentral lists this ribosomal RNA (516 nucleotides) under Colletotrichum viniferum. RNAcentral's name for it is "eukaryotic LSU rRNA". The stretch from base 153 to 306 matches the Rfam family "5.8S ribosomal RNA". The record is from RNAcentral. Lineage: Eukaryota; Fungi; Ascomycota; Sordariomycetes; Glomerellales; Glomerellaceae.
CCCUUUGUGACAUACCUAUAACUGUUGCUUCGGCGGGUAGGGUCUCCGCGACCCUCCCGGCCUCCCGCCCCCGGGCGGGUCGGCGCCCGCCGGAGGAUAACCAAACUCUGAUUCAACGACGUUUCUUCUGAGUGGUACAAGCAAAUAAUCAAAACUUUUAACAACGGAUCUCUUGGUUCUGGCAUCGAUGAAGAACGCAGCGAAAUGCGAUAAGUAAUGUGAAUUGCAGAAUUCAGUGAAUCAUCGAAUCUUUGAACGCACAUUGCGCCCGCCAGCAUUCUGGCGGGCAUGCCUGUUCGAGCGUCAUUUCAACCCUCAAGCUCCGCUUGGUGUUGGGGCCCUACAGCUGAUGUAGGCCCUCAAAGGUAGUGGCGGACCCUCCCGGAGCCUCCUUUGCGUAGUAACUUUACGUCUCGCACUGGGAUCCGGAGGGACUCUUGCCGUAAAACCCCCCAAUUUUCCAAAGGUUGACCUCGGAUCAGGUAGGAAUACCCGCUGAACUUAAGCAUAUCAAUA